UUAUUUCAUUUCAUAUUAAACUAGGAGCAAUUCUAGUGUCCCCUACCUAACUGGAUCUAUCCUAUCUUUCCAUAAUCUUAUGACUUAAUUAAAAACUAAGGGUGUCUAUGUACAUAUGUGUGGAACUGCAACACAGCUAGCUAGUAGUUUUGUUCUCAUUUUUUUGUAACUGUUGUGCACCCCCCCCACUCCAGUGUUAAAUGGUUGUCUCUUAAGUCUACUAUCCAACUUGGUUCUUUGGAGGUGUUCAUAGAGAUAGAGCAUACGUGCAUUCAUAGAGGUGAGUCUGUGCUCGUGUAUAUGAGUGUCUGUGUCUAUAACUGGGUCUUGAAAAAAAAACCUACUAUUACUAAUUGGAGAACUCUUUUGCAGCCCAAACAUGCUACAGAAAAAUAGAGAUAUCCUUUUAGAAAAAAGAACAAAACAGUCUACCGUCGAGUCCGGCCCACAGAUUCAAAUAUUGUCCACAGCCAUUGUAUUUUAUUUGCUUCUAACUAUCCACCUUUGAUAUGAUGUUUUUCAAAUAAACACUCAAAUUUACAUUAAGAAAUCUCCCAAAUCCGAGUAUAAAAAUAACGUGAUGACAGGGUUCGAGACAAAGAAAGAUCAAGGCAGCACGCCAGCACGUAAUUUUGAAACCGUAAGUUGAUAGCUAGGUCUGAGGACGCAGAGAUACAACAGGGGGUUGUUCACAAAUCCCAAAAAUAGUCUUAUUUUUUUGCAGGUAACAUAAACUUAAGAUUAUUUAUGAAUUCAUUGGC
RNAcentral lists this long non-coding RNA (761 nucleotides) under Sorghum bicolor (sorghum). Its description in RNAcentral is "long non-coding RNA (SBIC_LNC003966)". The record is from RNAcentral. Lineage: Eukaryota; Viridiplantae; Streptophyta; Magnoliopsida; Poales; Poaceae.